Lemur catta (Ring-tailed lemur) is the source of this 731-nucleotide long non-coding RNA. RefSeq lists it as uncharacterized. The transcript has 4 exons. NCBI's taxonomy places the organism in Eukaryota, Metazoa, Chordata, Mammalia, Primates, Lemuridae. The record is from RefSeq and is a predicted model, not a curated record.
AUUCCAUCAAUGAUUGUUUGUCUGGGAAAGUCUUUAUUUCUCCCUCAUAAAUGAAGCUUAGUUUCGCCAGCCUAAUAACUAUGUGAUGUGGUGAUUGCCUUUUCACAUUGAAUCUCCCAGGAGUUCUGUGUGCUUCUUGUACCCGGCUAUCCAGAUUUCUGGCCGGGCCAGAGCCUGUUGUCAGGUGCCACGACUUUGCAGCCACUUCAGGCGCGCCCCUGAGUGUGUGUGGAGGUCUGUGGGGCAGCCGGGCAUCCUCCUGUGGGUCAGAUCGCACUAAGCUGGCUGGCAGAUUCACAACACUGUUCUUGGAGGGGAGUGAUCCACUCGUGUGUAGCCGUCCAAGUUCUUCACCUCCUUCUCUGGAAGCAGUGAGCCGGGAGGCCACCACUAAUCAGCCAUUUUUCCUCCUCGAUGUCAUGUUUUUUGAAGACAUUACACCAAGUAAAAUAAGUUAGACACAAAAAGACAAACAUUGUAUGGGUCCACUUAUAUGAAGUACCUGGAAUAGUCAAAUUGAUAGAAAGAGAAAGUAAAAAAUAAAGAAUAAAGGUAGAAUAAGGCUGGUGGAGGGAGGUGGGUAGUUAUUGUUUAAUGGGUACAGAGUUUCUGUGUGGAAUGAUGAAAAGUUUUGGAAAUGGAUAGUGGUAAUGUAGCAUAAUAACGUGGAUGUGCUUAAUGAUACCAAAUCGCACAAUUAAAAAUGGUUAAAAUGGUAAAUUUUAUAUGUA